RNAcentral lists this long non-coding RNA (360 nucleotides) under Equus caballus (horse). RNAcentral describes it as "lncRNA (ENSECAG00000048067.1)". Lineage: Eukaryota; Metazoa; Chordata; Mammalia; Perissodactyla; Equidae. The record is from RNAcentral.
AGCUGUGGCACACACCAGCCCAGUGGAGAAGCCAGUUCAUCCGGGACCAGCGUGUGGAGUGUAAGCCCUCAAACUGAAGUGGAACUGCUAAUUAGUGGAGGCACAAACCUUCACCUUGUAACUCUGCUUAAAUCUUCAGAAGAAUAAACUCGAGUUUGUGAAGGCUGCAGAACAAAGGAUGGUUCUUCUGGCUUUUCUCUGCCACAGUCCUAACUGAGGUAUGACCGCACAGGAUAGAGAGUUCAUCCCUCCAGAGAUGUUGCAGCUGGCUCUGAGGAACCUCAGCUUAGUGGAAUAUUGCUCCUGCAUUUGAAGAGGUCACUGUCACUGGCAGAAAGAGACAAAGGAACAGUUUCAAGA